AAACUAUGCUGAGGACAUCUUCUAAAUAAAUCCUUGAAUAUCUCCUAAGCCUCUUAAAAUGGUUCUAAGUCU
RNAcentral lists this small nucleolar RNA (72 nucleotides) under Olea europaea subsp. europaea. RNAcentral's name for it is "Plant small nucleolar RNA R71". It matches the Rfam family "Plant small nucleolar RNA R71". Rfam says of the family: R71 is a member of the C/D box family of snoRNAs containing the C (UGAUGA) and D (CUGA) box motifs. Multiple nearly identical copies of this snoRNA have been identified in Arabidopsis, and it is thought to function as a 2'-O-ribose methylation guide for 18S ribosomal RNA. The record is from Rfam by way of RNAcentral. Lineage: Eukaryota; Viridiplantae; Streptophyta; Magnoliopsida; Lamiales; Oleaceae.